This 497-nucleotide ribosomal RNA is filed under the name uncultured bacterium. RNAcentral's name for it is "partial 16S ribosomal RNA". It matches the Rfam family "Bacterial small subunit ribosomal RNA", at positions 28 to 507 of the family's 1533-position model. The record is from RNAcentral.
GAUGAACGCUGGCGGCGUGCCUAAUACAUGCAAGUCGAGCGAAAAGACGCUGCGCUUGUUCCUUUGACGUUAGCCGCGGACGGGUGUGUAACGCGUGGAUCCCCUACCUAUAUGUCUGGGAUAAUCUCGGAACACCGGAGCUAAUCCGGGAUAAUCUAUUGCACCGUAUGGUUCAAUAGUGAGAGACGGCUUUGCUGUCACUUAUCGCUGGAUCCGCGCCGCAUUAUCUAGUUGGUACGGUAACGGCUUAUCAAGGCAACCAUGCGUAGCCGACCUGUGAGGGUGAUCGGCCACACUGGAACGGAGACACGGUCCAGACGCCUACGGGAGGCAGCAGUAGGGAAUCUGACGCAAUGGGCGAAAGCUUGACGGAGCAACGCCGCGUGAGUGAUGAAGGUCUUCGGAGCGUAAAGCUCUGUUAUGAGGGAAGAACAAAUGUGGAAGUAACUGUGCAGGUCUUGACGGUACCGAAUCAGAAAGCCACGGCUAACUACGUG